Molecule: long non-coding RNA, 302 nt
Filed under: Nicotiana benthamiana
Lineage: Eukaryota; Viridiplantae; Streptophyta; Magnoliopsida; Solanales; Solanaceae
Description: long non-coding RNA (NBEN_LNC041096)
Source: RNAcentral
UUGAUUUUCUUCUAUGUCUAGGUAGGAGUUUCUUCUCCAAGAUUAAUUGUAGACUUGUAGUUUAGUUUACUUCUCUCAAUUUCUCUCACACAGUAACCCACUAACAUUCGCCAUAUCUUUAAUUGGUAAACUUUUUAUUAAUCAGUUGUGAGGGAUAACUUUAUUGUUGUUCAGUAGAAGGUGCAGCAGGUUAUUCCGUCACUUUCAGUUGGUAAAUCAAAGGUAUGAUUGUUUAGUAGAAAGUGCAGCAGGUUAUUCCGUCACUUUCAGUUGGUAAAUCAAAGGUAUGGUCUUCCUCUCGC